Molecule: long non-coding RNA, 2012 nt
Filed under: Sorghum bicolor (sorghum)
Lineage: Eukaryota; Viridiplantae; Streptophyta; Magnoliopsida; Poales; Poaceae
Description: long non-coding RNA (SBIC_LNC003370)
Source: RNAcentral
GACUGCAAAUGUAAAUAUAGAUCGAGGAUAUAUAUGUUUUAUGUAUAGACUACAAAGUAGUUUAGAGAAAUAUAUAAAUUUACAUGUACAUACAUAUAGCGGUGUCAAAGGUUCCAGACAUGUAGCAGUUCAAAAGGUAAUGAGAAUUUCUCAUGCCAAUGCAUCAAAGUUGCUGUCCCUCCCUAAAAAAAAGUUGUAGUCCCAAGUACAGUGCGACCAGUUUACAACUAAUCCUGUCACGCCACCAUUAUCUUAAUUGCAAGACAAUAGGCAGUAAGCUGCAUACGUAGAGUUGGCUGUGGCUGGUAUGAUUCACUAACUCUGCUGACCAGUCACCUUUCAUUUAGGAUGUUUACUCCACCACUGGUAAACCCUCCACUAUCAUCUCUGUUUUCAAAAGACUGGCUCUAAAGAACAAAAGAAAUGAUAGAUGAACAAAUUAGUUUCAAUGCAGUAUAGAAAGUUUGAAGUGUAGCUACAAAAUCUAUCGCUUACAUGUAUUGGCAACAUCUUGGUUAGCAGAGGACCUGGUAGCACUCAUUUUUUCAAUCUGCGUAGCAGGGGCACAUCAAUUAAUAAGUUGAACUACCAAAAACAAAGUAAAAAAUAGAAGAAAAUGAGACAUUCAUUUACAGAGCCUCAUAGUUUCUGCGUAGCAUUCCAAGCUGUAUCACAUAAUAAGGCACAUUCCACACUAUAGUAUCACAUAAGGAACGUUGUUAUACACUGAAAAUGAUCAUAGUAUCAAUAGGAAAAAUGCUUUGUAAAUUAUCCUUAAUGCUAUAUAAUUUAAUAAGGCACAUUUCAUAUCACAGUAUCACAUUAUGGAGCAUAAAUGGCAGGAGGCUAACUUACAUCAGUGAUUGCACGAGCUAGCUUUGCAUAUUGAAUGUAAGCUAGCAUAGCUAAAGAAGCACACAUCUAAUAACAUUGGCAUAAAUAAGAAAAAUCUUUGCAAUAAAAUAGUACAAUGAGUGUUCCAACAUAGUACAGAUAUGACACUGGCGAAUAAGCAAAAUGUUUCUAGCAAAAUGCUAGAAUCUGUGGUCCAGCAUAGUUUAGAACUUUAAAAGUUACUUGCUCUUCUUUUUAGUAAAAUGCAGGUACUACCAAUGGAUUCAUCAUAUCUCACAUAAAAGAUAAGUGUGGAUAUAGCCAACUUUACCUCUAUGCAUGGGCAUGUUCAAAUUGGUUCAAAUUUUUUCAUGUUUCCAUAAAAUAAACAAAUAAAUGAUUUGAAGCCUAUCAUCAUUCUAUGAGUGGAUAAUGGUUCAGGAAACAACGCAAAUUAAUGGAAAGAUCAUUACCUGCAGGAGUACAGGGUAGGAGCAAAAAAAUGAUUUUAGCAUUAGCCGUCACACAUGCACUCCUGCAACAGAUAUAGACUGAUCUGGUUAAAUUAGAUCUGCUAGCAUCACAUGAAAAGCAAUUGAAAGAAGCAUAUCAUUUCUUAAUCCCAAAGUAAUGUCAGCUAAGAUCAUAGACCUCUGGUUCAUCCAUCUGAACUCAAACUGAGAGCAGGAAUAGACAUCAGAGCAAAAAAAAGUACAUAAGAACAUGGCCCUUCACACCUAAAUGCCUGAAUUCUUAGGCACAUACAUUAGAUCAUCCAUGAAGUAAAAUUAGAACCAACAUGUAAAUGUGAUUAAUGGAGAGAAGCACACACCUUUCGCUUGAGGAUUAUCACUCUGCUAAUGGGAAAUCCUGUACGACCAUUCUAUUUUCAAAGGAUGGAAAUGGAACCCGAUUCUACUUUAGCGCCAAGCUACAAAAAGGUAGUGAUAGAGAUCAAUCAAGAAGGGUGUGUGGCAAGUCAAGUUGAAGACAUUCAGUCAUGAUAGUCUGAUAACAAGGUGAUGAAAAUCAUUCUAGACUAAAUAAGAAUUAGGCACCUUCAAUAACACAUGAGACAACCAAGGUAAUAAGCAUUAUGUAUAAACCUUUCACAUGGAUUAACAUGGUAGCUGCAAUCCUAUACUCGGUGAUGGGACCUAAACAAAGUCCUAACUAAC